CGAACGCUGGCGGCAGGCCUAACACAUGCAAGUCGAGCGCACCCUUCGGGGCGAGCGGCGGACGGGUUAGUAACGCGUGGGAACAUACCCUUUUCUAUGGAAUAGCCUCGGGAAACUGAGAGUAAUACCAUAUACGCCCUUCGGGGGAAAGAUUUAUCGGAGAAGGAUUGGCCCGCGUAAGAUUAGAUAGUUGGUGGGGUAAUGGCCUACCAAGUCUACGAUCUUUAGCUGGUUUUAGAGGAUGAUCAGCAACACUGGGACUGAGACACGGCCCAGACUCCUACGGGAGGCAGCAGUGGGGAAUCUUAGACAAUGGGCGCAAGCCUGAUCUAGCCAUGCCGCGUGUGUGAUGAAGGCCUUAGGGUCGUAAAGCACUUUCGCCAGGGAUGAUAAUGACAGUACCUGGUAAAGAAACCCCGGCUAACUCC
RNAcentral lists this ribosomal RNA (428 nucleotides) under uncultured bacterium. RNAcentral's name for it is "bacterial SSU rRNA". It matches the Rfam family "Bacterial small subunit ribosomal RNA", at positions 30 to 504 of the family's 1533-position model. The record is from RNAcentral.